Molecule: transfer RNA, 72 nt
Filed under: Anaerolineae bacterium
Lineage: Bacteria; Bacillati; Chloroflexota; Anaerolineae
Also listed under: 1 other name
Description: tRNA-Met
Rfam family: tRNA
About the family: Transfer RNA (tRNA) molecules are approximately 80 nucleotides in length.
Source: RNAcentral
UGCGGGGUGGAGCAGAGGUAGCUCGCCAGGCUCAUAACCUGGAGGUCGUAGGUUCGAAUCCUACCCCCGCUA